RNAcentral lists this long non-coding RNA (302 nucleotides) under Hordeum vulgare. RNAcentral's name for it is "long non-coding RNA (HVUL_LNC014572)". The record is from RNAcentral. Lineage: Eukaryota; Viridiplantae; Streptophyta; Magnoliopsida; Poales; Poaceae.
UGAGAGAGCGCUGGUAAUGUUGACCUCUUUCCUGAAAGGGAUGCUUCCACCUUACAUUAUAUAGAAGGUCGGUGAGUCAUGCAGGAGUUGGCAAUUGCUACUACGUGAAAAUAGAGUUGCCACUUUCUAUGAGUUAAUUAAUGUUUUCCUUUGGAAGGUUUAUUUGCUUAAUAAUGAUAUAAUAUGUACAUGUAUCCGGUAGAUUUGAAGAAGGUCCUUGUCCUUUGAGUGGGCGUGUAUUUCUUGUUGGAUGACUUUAUGAUAUAACUUUGAAUAAAGAUAACUACGGUUUGGUGGUUACG